This 457-nucleotide ribosomal RNA is filed under the name uncultured bacterium. RNAcentral's name for it is "bacterial SSU rRNA". It matches the Rfam family "Bacterial small subunit ribosomal RNA", at positions 355 to 828 of the family's 1533-position model. The record is from RNAcentral.
UGGGGAAUAUUAGGCAAUGGGGGAAACCCUGACCUAGCCAUGCCGCGUGCGUGAAGAAGGUCUUAGGAUUGUAAAGCGCUUUCAGCGGGGAAGAUGAUGACGGUACCCGCAGAAGAAGCCCCGGCUAACUCCGUGCCAGCAGCCGCGGUAAUACGGAGGGGGCUAGCGUUGUUCGGAAUUACUGGGCGUAAAGCGCGCGUAGGCGGACUGAUCAGUCAGGGGUGAAAUCCCGGGGCUCAACCCCGGAACUGCCUUUAAAACUGCUAGUCUAGAGACCGGAAGAGGUUAGGGGAAUACCUAGUGUAGAGGUGAAAUUCGUAGAUAUUAGGUGGAACACCAGUGGCGAAGGCGCCUAACUGGUCCGGUACUGACGCUGAGGAACGAAAGCGUGGGGAGCAAACAGGAUUAGAUAGCCCUGGUAGUCCACGCCGUAAACGAUGAGUGCUAGAUGUUGGGA